AAUAUUGGACAAUGGGGGCAACCCUGAUCCAGCAAUGCCGCGUGUGUGAAGAAGGUCUUCGGAUUUUAACGUACUUUAAUGUGGGAGGAAGGGCUUUAGGCUAAUACCCUGAAGUUUUGACGUUACCAACAGAUUAAGAACCGGCUCACUCUGGUCCCGCAGCCGCGGUAAUACAGACGGUGCAAGAGUUAAUCGGAAUUACUGGGCGUAAAGCGGGCGUAGGUGGUUCAGUAAGAUGGGUGUGAAAUCCCCGGGCGUAACAUGGGAACUGCUUUCAUAACUGCUGAGCUAGAGUACGGUAGAGGGUAGUGGAAUUUCCUGUGUAGCGGUGAAAUGCGUAGAUAUAGGAAGGAACACCAGUGGCGAAGGAGACUACCUGGACUGAUACUGACACUGAGGUGCGAAAGCGUGGGGAGCAAACA
This 422-nucleotide ribosomal RNA is filed under the name uncultured bacterium. Its description in RNAcentral is "partial 16S ribosomal RNA". It matches the Rfam family "Bacterial small subunit ribosomal RNA", at positions 360 to 774 of the family's 1533-position model. The record is from RNAcentral.